GGUUAAGCGACUAAGCGUACACGGUGGAUGCCCUGGCAGUCAGAGGCGAUGAAGGACGUGCUAAUCUGCGAAAAGCGUCGGUAAGGUGAUAUGAACCGUUAUAACCGGCGAUGUCCGAAUGGGGAAACCCAGUGUGAUUCGUCACACUAUCGUUAACUGAAUACAUAGGUUAACGAGGCGAACCGGGGGAACUGAAACAUCUAAGUACCCCGAGGAAAAGAAAUCAACCGAGAUUCCCCCAGUAGCGGCGAGCGAACGGGGAGCAGCCCAGAGUCUGAAUCAGCUUGUGUGUUAGUGGAACGGUCUGGAAAGUCCGACGGUACAGGGUGAUAGUCCCGUACACCAAAAUGCACAGGUUGUGAACUCGAAGAGUAGGGCGGGACACGUGGUAUCCUGUCUGAAUAUGGGGGGACCAUCCUCCAAGGCUAAAUACUCCUGACUGACCGAUAGUGAACCAGUACCGUGAGGGAAAGGCGAAAAGAACCCCGGCGAGGGGAGUGAAAAAGAACCUGAAACCGUGUACGUACAAGCAGUGGGAGCACCUUCGGGUGUGACUGCGUACCUUUUGUAUAAUGGGUCAGCGACUUAUAUUCUGUAGCAAGGUUAACCGUAUAGGGGAGCCGCAGGGAAACCGAGUCUUAACUGGGCGUUAAGUUGCAGGGUAUAGACCCGAAACCCGGUGAUCUAGCCAUGGGCAGGUUGAAGGUUGGGUAACACUAACUGGAGGACCGAACCGACUAAUGUUGAAAAAUUAGCGGAUGACUUGUGGCUGGGGGUGAAAGGCCAAUCAAACCGGGAGAUAGCUGGUUCUCCCCGAAAGCUAUUUAGGUAGCGCCUCGUGAAUUCAUCUUCGGGGGUAGAGCACUGUUUCGGCUAGGGGGUCAUCCCGACUUACCAACCCGAUGCAAACUACGAAUACCGAAGAAUGUUAUCACGGGAGACACACGGCGGGUGCUAACGUCCGUCGUGAAGAGGGAAACAACCCAGACCGCCAGCUAAGGUCCCAAAGUCAUGGUUAAGUGGGAAACGAUGUGGGAAGGCACAGACAGCCAGGAUGUUGGCUUAGAAGCAGCCAUCAUUUAAAGAAAGCGUAAUAGCUCACUGGUCGAGUCGGCCUGCGCGGAAGAUGUAACGGGGCUAAACCAUGCACCGAAGCUGCGGCAGCGACACUAUGUGUUGUUGGGUAGGGGAGCGUUCUGUAAGCCUGCGAAGGUGACCUGUGAGGGUUGCUGGAGGUAUCAGAAGUGCGAAUGCUGACAUAAGUAACGAUAAAGCGGGUGAAAAGCCCGCUCGCCGGAAGACCAAGGGUUCCUGUCCAACGUUAAUCGGGGCAGGGUGAGUCGACCCCUAAGGCGAGGCCGAAAGGCGUAGUCGAUGGGAAACAGGUUAAUAUUCCUGUACUUGGUGUUACUGCGAAGGGGGGACGGAGAAGGCUAUGUUAGCCGGGCGACGGUUGUCCCGGUUUAAGCAUGUAGGCUGGUUGUCCAGGCAAAUCCGGAUAAUCAAGGCUGAGGUGUGAUGACGAGGCACUACGGUGCUGAAGUAACAAAUGCCCUGCUUCCAGGAAAAGCCUCUAAGCAUCAGGUAACAUUAAAUCGUACCCCAAACCGACACAGGUGGUCAGGUAGAGAAUACCAAGGCGCUUGAGAGAACUCGGGUGAAGGAACUAGGCAAAAUGGUGCCGUAACUUCGGGAGAAGGCACGCUGGUGUGUAGGUGAAGUCCCUGCGGAUGGAGCUGAGACCAGUCGAAGAUACCAGCUGGCUGCAACUGUUUAUUAAAAACACAGCACUGUGCAAACACGAAAGUGGACGUAUACGGUGUGACGCCUGCCCGGUGCCGGAAGGUUAAUUGAUGGGGUUAUCCGUAAGGAGAAGCUCUUGAUCGAAGCCCCGGUAAACGGCGGCCGUAACUAUAACGGUCCUAAGGUAGCGAAAUUCCUUGUCGGGUAAGUUCCGACCUGCACGAAUGGCGUAAUGAUGGCCAGGCUGUCUCCACCCGAGACUCAGUGAAAUUGAACUCGCUGUGAAGAUGCAGUGUACCCGCGGCAAGACGGAAAGACCCCGUGAACCUUUACUAUAGCUUGACACUGAACAUUGAGCCUUGAUGUGUAGGAUAGGUGGGAGGCUUUGAAGCGUGGACGCCAGUCUGCGUGGAGCCAACCUUGAAAUACCACCCUUUAAUGUUUGAUGUUCUAACGUUGGCCCCUUACCGGGGUUGCGGACAGUGUCUGGUGGGUAGUUUGACUGGGGCGGUCUCCUCCCAAAGCGUAACGGAGGAGCACGAAGGUUAGCUAAUCCUGGUCGGACAUCAGGAGGUUAGUGCAAUGGCAUAAGCUAGCUUGACUGCGAGCGUGACGGCGCGAGCAGGUGCGAAAGCAGGUCAUAGUGAUCCGGUGGUUCUGAAUGGAAGGGCCAUCGCUCAACGGAUAAAAGGUACUCCGGGGAUAACAGGCUGAUACCGCCCAAGAGUUCAUAUCGACGGCGGUGUUUGGCACCUCGAUGUCGGCUCAUCACAUCCUAGGGCUGAAGUAGGUCCCAAGGGUAUGGCUGUUCGCCAUUUAAAGUGGUACGCGAGCUGGGUUUAGAACGUCGUGAGACAGUUCGGUCCCUAUCUGCCGUGGGCGCUGGAGAAUUGAGGGGGGCUGCUCCUAGUACGAGAGGACCGGAGUGGACGCAUCACUGGUGUUCGGGUUGUCAUGCCAAUGGCACUGCCCGGUAGCUAAAUGCGGAAGAGAUAAGUGCUGAAAGCAUCUAAGCACGAAACUUGCCCCGAGAUGAGUUCUCCCUGAGACUUUAAGUCUCCUGAAGGAACGUUAAAGACGAUGACGUUGAUAGGCCGGGUGUGUAAGCGCAGCGAUGCGUUGAGCUAACCGGUACUAAUGAACCGUGAGGCUUAACCUU
RNAcentral lists this ribosomal RNA (2902 nucleotides) under Klebsiella pneumoniae. Its description in RNAcentral is "23S ribosomal RNA". It matches the Rfam family "Bacterial large subunit ribosomal RNA". The record is from RNAcentral. Lineage: Bacteria; Pseudomonadati; Pseudomonadota; Gammaproteobacteria; Enterobacterales; Enterobacteriaceae.